GUGAGGAAUUUUCCGCAAUGGGCGAAAGCCUGACGGAGCAAUGCCGCGUGAAGGAUGAAGGCCUAUGGGUUGUAAACUUCUUUUCUCAGAAAAGAAUUAUGACGGUAUCUGAGGAAUAAGCAUCGGCUAACUCUGUGCCAGCAGCCGCGGUAAGACAGAGGAUGCAAGCGUUAUCCGGAAUGAUUGGGCGUAAAGCGUCUGUAGGUUGUUUAAAAAGUAUUCUGUCAAAGAUUAGGGCUUAACCCUAGAUAGGCAGAAUAAACUUUUAAGCUAGAGUUUGGUAGAGGCAGAGGGAAUUCCCGGUGGAGCGGUGAAAUGCGUAGAUAUCGAGAGGAACACCAAAGGCGAAGGCACUCUGCUGGGCCAAUACUAACACUGAGAGACGAAAGCGAGGGGAGCAAAUGGGAUUAGAAACCCCAGUAGUCC
This 426-nucleotide ribosomal RNA is filed under the name uncultured bacterium. Its description in RNAcentral is "partial 16S ribosomal RNA". It matches the Rfam family "Bacterial small subunit ribosomal RNA", at positions 354 to 796 of the family's 1533-position model. The record is from RNAcentral.